UCACCUGCAAAAAAAGAAAAAAGAAAGAAGGUUUGGUGGCAUACCCCUUUUCAUCACAUCACUGAAACUCCCCCCUCCACCAAAAAAAAACCUCACUGGUAAGGACAUUUACAGGCAAAGAAAAUCACAAGCAGGCUUGCUCCUGAUCUGGGUGUUCCCAUUCCAGCCGCAUCAUCCUGGUACUGGACUAUUCUGCACCAGACUUGUUACAGGUAUUUAACAAGCGCUGCAGAGUUCACUACAAGCCUCCAAAGAGCCAGUGAUGCAAGGAUGUUUCCCAUGAAGGUGGUCUACAAUCAUGACCAAAGCUGGAAGACAUUGGGCAAACUGUAUGGGACCUUUCUGGAACCAGUAGAACCCAGUCUCAUUUUGUUUUCACUUAGCUGGAAUCUUAAGUUUAAAUGAUUCUCUUAACUGAGAGAAACCAACUUCUGUUUUGUACAAAAUGUGUGAAACCACUUUUAUAACUAAUAAAAUGAUUUUCAGACAGGA
Alligator mississippiensis (American alligator) is the source of this 492-nucleotide long non-coding RNA. RefSeq lists it as uncharacterized. NCBI's taxonomy places the organism in Eukaryota, Metazoa, Chordata, Crocodylia, Alligatoridae. The record is from RefSeq and is a predicted model, not a curated record. The transcript has 4 exons.